CUGGUGGAUUAGUGGCGAACGGGUGAGUAACACGUGAGUAACCUACCCUUGACUCUGGGAUAAGCCCGGGAAACUGGGUCUAAUACCGGAUAUGAGUCAUCACCGCAUGGUGGUGGUUUGAAAGAUUUAUCGGUCUUGGAUGGACUCGCGGCCUAUCAGCUUGUUGGUGAGGUAAUGGCUCACCAAGGCGACGACGGGUAGCCGGCCUGAGAGGGUGACCGGCCACACUGGGACUGAGACACGGCCCAGACUCCUACGGGAGGCAGCAGUGGGGAAUAUUGCACAAUGGGCGGAAGCCUGAUGCAGCGACGCCGCGUGAGGGAUGACGGCCUUCGGGUUGUAAACCUCUUUCAGUAGGGAAGAAGCGAAAGUGACGGUACCUGCAGAAGAAGCACCGGCUAACUACGUGCCAGCAGCCGCGGUAAUACGUAGGGUGCGAGCGUUAUCCGGAAUUAUUGGGCGUAAAGAGCUCGUAGGCGGUUUGUCGCGUCUGUCGUGAAAGU
Molecule: ribosomal RNA, 503 nt
Filed under: Micrococcus cohnii
Lineage: Bacteria; Bacillati; Actinomycetota; Actinomycetes; Micrococcales; Micrococcaceae
Description: bacterial SSU rRNA
Rfam family: Bacterial small subunit ribosomal RNA
Source: RNAcentral